RNAcentral lists this ribosomal RNA (1391 nucleotides) under human gut metagenome. RNAcentral's name for it is "bacterial LSU rRNA". It matches the Rfam family "Bacterial large subunit ribosomal RNA", at positions 740 to 2004 of the family's 2925-position model. The record is from RNAcentral.
GCAGGUUGAAGCGCGGGUAAGACCGCGUGGAGGACCGAACCCACCUGGGUUGAAAACCGGGGGGAUGACCUGGGGCUAGGGGUGAAAGGCCAAUCAAAUUCCGUGAUAGCUGGUUCUCUCCGAAAUGCAUUUAGGUGCAGCGUCGGUUGAUUGCAUCGCGGGGGUAGAGCUACUGGAUGCUUGCGGGCCCGUGUCGGGUACCAAUAGCAGCCAAACUCCGAAUACCGUGGAUGUGUAUUCCGGCAGUGAGUCGGCGGGGGAUAAGCUCCGUCGUCGAGAGGGAGACAGCCCAGAUCGUCGUCUAAGGUCCCGAAGCGUGUGCUAAGUGGGAAAGGAUGUGGAGUCGCAUAGACAGCCAGGAGGUUGGCUCAGAAGCAGCCAUCCUUGAAAGAGUGCGUAACAGCUCACUGGUCUAGUGGUUCCGCGCCGACAAUGUAGCGGGGCUCAAGCACACCACCGAAGACGCGGCAGCGGCCUUUGUGGCCGUUGGGUAGGAGAGCGUCCCGCGUGGGGCGAAGCGGCCGGGGAACCGUGCCGUGGACCGCGCGGGAGUGAGAAUGCAGACAUGAGUAGCGAGAGACGGGUGAGGAUCCCGUCCGCUGGAUGACCAAGGGUUCCGGGGCCACGUUCGUCGUCCCCGGGUGAGUCGGGUCCUAAGGCGAGGCCGACAGGCGUAGUCGAAUGGAUGAACGGGUGGAUAUUCCCGUACCGGCGGCGUACCGUAAGAGCCGAACGGAUGAGUACUAACCUCCGGUCGCGUGGCGUCGUUCCCUUCGGGGUUCGGGGCGCGUGGCUGUUGGGAGCGUAGUCCUGGUAGGCUAGCGCACAGGGGUGACACGGAAUGGGAGCCGGCCGCGGAGGUGGUUUUCCGUGGUCAAGCACGCAGCCCGUCCCAUAGGCAAAUCCGUGGGACGCAUAGGGUGAGGUGUGAUGAUGGGCGUCCUUUGGACGCGAUAUCCGGUGGUCCAGGCCGUCGAGAAAAGCCUCGGCGCGAGGGGCGUCGCCGCCCGUACCCCAAACCGACACUGGUGGUCAGGUAGAGAAUACCAAGGCGAUCGAGCGAAUCCUGGUCAAGGAACUCGGCAAAUCACUCCCGUGCCUUCGGUAUAAGGGAGACCCCCGGGCGUGAAGAGGCUUGCCCUCGGAGCGUUGGGGGGUGGCACAGACCAGGGGGUAGCGACUGUUUACCAAAAACACAGGUGCAUGCGAAGGCGCAAGCCGCUGUAUAUGCACUGACGCCUGCCCGGUGCCGGAAGGUUAAGAGGAUCCGUCAGCCCCUUUUGGGGUGAAGCGGUGAAUUCAAGCCCCGGUAAACGGCGGUGGUAACUAUAACCAUCCUAAGGUAGCGAAAUUCCUUGUCGGGUAAGUUCCGACCUGCACGAAUGGCGUAA